AAGAACCAAAACAAAGAAAGUGGUCUCCAACCAACACCAACACCAACGCCAAGGCCUGCCCCCCCCCUCCCCCCCCCUUCUCUCUCUCUCUCUCUUUUUUUCAUUCUUNCCCCUCUCUCUCUCUCUCUCCUUUUUUCUAUUCUUACACCGAAUCAAUCUCACUCUCACUCUCUCUCUCUCUCUUUAUAAUCUUCCAUCUACACUCUUCACAACUUCAGGGCUCAAUCUCAAAAAUCAAGCUCUCUUCUUUAUCGCAUUGAGCCCGUUUUCUCUCCUCGCCUAUUUCCUUCCUCUCGCUC
This 299-nucleotide long non-coding RNA is filed under the name Theobroma cacao (cacao). RNAcentral's name for it is "long non-coding RNA (TCAC_LNC002714)". Lineage: Eukaryota; Viridiplantae; Streptophyta; Magnoliopsida; Malvales; Malvaceae. The record is from RNAcentral.